AUGGCCACCUCAAGUUCCCACUUGAACAGAGGGGUCAAACAAGAAACAAGUUCCUGAUUCAGGGUGGGUGCUGUGGUUUGUGUCCCCUUUAAGAUUUGGGUAUUGAAACUUAAAGACAGUGUGUGAUAGUAUUAAGGGUGAAGACUUUAACAGGCAAUUUGGCAGUGGGGGCUCAGGCCCUCAUGAGUGGGGCUUCAUAGAAGAUUUGGCUCUUUUGCUCUGUCCACUGAGUGAGGACACAGCAACAAGGCACCAUCUUGGAAUCAGAGCAGCCCUUAUACAAUUGAAUCUGAUUCCUUAGCAUCGGAUUUCCUAGCCUUCAGAACUGUAUGAGAAGUUGUCCUAAGUCACCCGGUCUGAAACAUCCUGUUAUAGCAGCCAAAAUGGACUAAGACAGUGGGAAAGUCCAAGCCAUGUAUGUUUGGAUUGAUGGCAUCAGAAGAGGAUCAUGCUAUGAGGUCCACCCCCAGGACAGCAGGCCCAAGUGUGUACAGUGAGUGGAGUUGAUGGCUCUAGUGCUUUUCAAUCUGAAGCCUGUAACAGUGACAUCUCAUCCCUGCUGCCAUUUUGGGACUCUUCCUACAAGGACCCUAGCCAGCUGGUGUUCUGUGAAGUCUAAGUAUACCCCAAAACCUAUGAAAGGUCAGUUUAAGACACGCCUGUAAAUAGGUAAAGACAUGGUGAACAACCAGCAUCCCUGAUUUGGAAUGCAACAGGAAUAUAUUUCUUAUAGCAGAUGGGCAUCCCUUCAGUUUGCCUUCCAAUGAAUUCCCUGGGUCCCAAGGUUCAUAUUGCUGCAGUGCAAAAGUAGACGUACUACCACAAGAAUAUCAAGGAGGCUCACUACCAAGUCUAUUUAUAUAUGGGCAUGAGGAUGCAUGCCAAGGUCAUGAAAGCCCAGUGGGAAUUUGAUAGAGAAAUGUGGAACAAUUACAUAGUGAGAUCCUCUCAGGGUAGUCCAUUUCAUCUUGCAUUGUGUGAAGACUUUGGAGCAAUAGAUUAGGAUCAAAGGUGGUUAUUCUUGGUAACUAGAAUAGUGCAGGAGGUCAUCCCAACUUCAGCACCAAGGCCAUGCAAGAGAAGGUUGAAGUACAUUGAGGCAGCCAUUGAAAGACUAAGCCACUGAUAUCAGUGGCCAGAUUCAGGUUUAUGAUCCCAAGGUGGUCCUGGACAAUACCAAAUGCCUAGCCAGAUUCACAAAACCCGCAGCCAUUAACUUCCCUGCUGGCAUGGUCACCCAUGGGGCCUGCGUCCCCCUUCCCUGGGCCAUUGACCAGGAGAAUGUUAACUGAAGACCAUCUGUGGUCACAUCUGUGAGCUCUUCAGUGACAGAAGCCCUCAUUUACACAUCAAUGAUGCCAGCAUUGAACUCUUCCAAUACGGAAGCUGA
Molecule: long non-coding RNA, 1390 nt
Filed under: Homo sapiens (human)
Lineage: Eukaryota; Metazoa; Chordata; Mammalia; Primates; Hominidae
Description: non-protein coding lnc-SDSL-10:1
Source: RNAcentral